AAUUCGAUUAGAGUUUGAUCCUGGCUCAGAACGAACGCUGGCGGCAGGCUUAACACAUGCAAGUCGAACGCACCGCAAGGUGAGUGGCAGACGGGUGAGUAACGCGUGGGAACGUGCCCUUCAGUUCGGGAUAACCCAGGGAAACUUGGGCUAAUACCGGAUACGUGCGAGAGCAGAAAGAUUUAUCGCUGAAGGAUCGGCCCGCGUCUGAUUAGCUAGUUGGUGGGGUAAUGGCCCACCAAGGCGACGAUCAGUAGCUGGUCUGAGAGGAUGAUCAGCCACAUUGGGACUGAGACACGGCCCAAACUCCUACGGGAGGCAGCAGUGGGGAAUAUUGGACAAUGGGCGCAAGCCUGAUCCAGCCAUGCCGCGUGAGUGAUGAAGGCCUUAGGGUUGUAAAGCUCUUUCGCACGCGACGAUAAUGACGGUAGCGUGAGAAGAAGCCCCG
RNAcentral lists this ribosomal RNA (448 nucleotides) under uncultured bacterium. RNAcentral's name for it is "bacterial SSU rRNA". It matches the Rfam family "Bacterial small subunit ribosomal RNA", at positions 1 to 495 of the family's 1533-position model. The record is from RNAcentral.